This 473-nucleotide ribosomal RNA is filed under the name uncultured bacterium. RNAcentral's name for it is "SSU rRNA". It matches the Rfam family "Bacterial small subunit ribosomal RNA", at positions 26 to 521 of the family's 1533-position model. The record is from RNAcentral.
AGAACGAACGCUGGCGGCAUGCCUAACACAUGCAAGUCGAACGCUCCUGGGGCUUCGGUCUCAGGGGAGUGGCGCACGGGUGAGUAGCGCGUCGGAACCUGCCCUGUUGUGGGGGAUAACCGAGGGAAACUUCGGCUAAUACCGCAUAAGCCGGUUGUCUUGAAAGAGAUGGCCGGGAAAGAUUUAUCGCGACAGGAGGGGCCCGCGUCGGAUUAGCUAGUUGGUGGGGUAACGGCCCACCAAGGCAGUGAUCCGUAGCUGGUCUGAGAGGAUGAUCAGCCACACUGGGACUGAGACACGGCCCAGACUCCUACGGGAGGCAGCAGUGGGGAAUAUUGGACAAUGGGCGCAAGCCUGAUCCAGCAAUGCCGCGUGAGUGAUGAAGGCCUUAGGGUUGUAAAGCUCUUUCGCCCGCGACGAUGAUGACGGUAGCGGGAGAAGAGCCCGGCUAACUUCGUGCCAGCAGCCGCGGU